Molecule: unclassified non-coding RNA, 202 nt
Filed under: uncultured fungus
Lineage: Eukaryota; Fungi
Description: sequence contains ITS1
Source: RNAcentral
UUAACUUUUCGCUUUUUACUCAGAGAUGCCACUAUAAUACAAGAGUUUGAGACCUCCGGCGGGCGCCCCUCGCCCCGUCGGGCGUGGGCUGCGGUCCCCCGAGGGGUCCCGCGCCGCCGAAGCAACCUGGAUACGUUCGCGAUGGUUUGAAGUUGCCUUUCGGCUUCUUAUAAUGAUCCCUCCGCUGGUUCACCAACGGAGA